This 669-nucleotide long non-coding RNA is filed under the name Nicotiana benthamiana. Its description in RNAcentral is "long non-coding RNA (NBEN_LNC010097)". The record is from RNAcentral. Lineage: Eukaryota; Viridiplantae; Streptophyta; Magnoliopsida; Solanales; Solanaceae.
AAAUAUCCAACAGGACAGAGGACAAACAGAGCAACAGAAGCAGGGUAUUGGAAGGCAACAGGCAAAGAUAAAGAGAUAUUCAGGUCAAAAACAUUGGUUGGUAUGAAGAAAACUCUUGUUUUCUAUAAAGGAAGAGCACCUAGAGGAGAAAAAACCAAUUGGGUCAUGCAUGAAUAUAGAUUAGAUGGCAUAAAGGAAGAGCACCUAGAGGAGAAAAAACAAAUUGGGUCAUGCAUGAAUAUAGAUUAGAUGGCAAAUAUUCAGUCCACAACCUUCCUAAAUCUGCCCAGGUAAAAAAAUCAUCAAAAACGUGCUUUUUCUUCCCUGUUUAAGGUUGUUUCUCGUCACUCUGCGGAUUUAGGAUUUAAUCUUUAUGAGUUGAAGUCCAGAUUUCAUUGAAGAUUCAGAGUUUUUACAUAGAAGAAUCAACCUAAAUAACUGCUCAUUCAACCACGUAAACAAACAAUAGCCAACAGAUGUAUAUAUAUAUGUAUAAUUCACGUAGAAUAUGUGUAAAAUCGGAUACAAUCAGUGUAUAAUCAAUGUAUUCCGGCUAUAAAAAGUAAAUUGAAUCGUUGACAAUAUUCUGAUUUUUCCCUUUUUUCUGCAGAAUGAAUGUGUGAUUUGCAGAGUUUUCAAGAAAACUUCAGGAGGGAAAAAGAUAGCAAU